AGAAAGAAAAUUCCCAUAACGAUGCACAUCAUUUCACAUCCCAACCUUCACAAUGAAGAUGUUACUUCCACCAGAUUUGAUCAAACAGGAACACGCAUGCAUCAACUACUUCUCAGAUGAGGUGAUAAAAAACAUCUCGAGUCCACUACACAUCCCAGGAAGCACAGGUACUUCGCGUCUCUUGCGCGGCAGCGUGGUGCUAGCCGGACAACACAUCGGCGUGGGCAUGGCACAACCCUGAGCUGCCGGUGGAUGUACACGACGCUGCUUAGAUCCACCGUUGCCAUCUACAACGUGGAGAUUGAGGAGAGGUAAGGAGGUGGAAGGUGUGGGGCGGGGCGGGGCUGGUCGAGAUCAAGGGGGCGUCCAUUUAUAGAGUAGACGAGAGGAGAGGAGAGGGGAGCGUAGGCAGCGAUGGGAUGAACGGACGGAUGCGUCGGUUUGGGAAGAGGAUAGAACUAAUGGGGUGCCUAGUUUCAAGGAGGAAGACGAGGGAAUCAAGGGAGGCUCUCUUGAUGGAAGGAAGGAAGGAAGGAAAGAGGUGUAUUCAUCCAGCCGUGGAAAACGCUAGCUGCAUGCAGUAAUUAUUCCUUUAAUUUCCUUGUCGCCAGAUUGACGCACACGCGCGAUGGAUUCCCUCUCUGACUCUCUCUAUGGUAUGGUAUGGUAUGUACUGCACAAACGAUUUAGUCCCAGCGCUCCCAGAAAUUACGCCGGCCACGUAAAGGUAGCCAGGCACUUUCCAUGUGUGUAUGCAGUAACUUCUUCCCAUUUGCUCGUGUCAGUUUUUAUUUUUUUAGGGAAUUUGCUCGUGUCUGUAUCUUUAUUUUUAUCUGUUUGAAGGAAUUUGCUCAUCUAAGACAAGACUCGUUCUCUAUAUAGCCAGGUGGGUUUUUUCUGUUCACAAUUUGAUUUUCUCAUGUAAGAUAAGACACCAGGUUUGCAAGUGCAUUCCUAGCAUAAAAGGUUUUUCUGUUCACAAUUUGAUUUUCUCACGUAAGAUAAGACACCAGGUUUGCAAGUGCAUUCCUAGCAUAAAAACACCGGCUCCAAUCCAAUUACCAGGUUGGCAAGUUUCAAAGUCCCUGCAUUGAACAUUUUUUCAUAACUUGUUAGAUUAUAAUUGAAAAAACCCAGAGAACACUCAUUCAUUCUUGACACCGACAAACUCGGUACUCUCCUCUCCUAGGGCAAUGAAAAUUUUCUUGUUGUACCAUACAAAACACCGACAAACAGCUCAGGAAUUCCUUGAUGCAAUGACUAAUAUGAUCAACUUAACUCUUGAUGCAGUUAACCCAGAAAGAAAAUUCCCAUAACGAUGCACAUCAUUUCACAUCCCAACCUUCACAAUGAAGAUGUUACUUCCACCAGAUAUGAUCAAACAGGAACACGCAUGCAUGUGCGCGCGCACACACAGCGCAGUGCAAUACAUCUUCACCAAAACAAAGUUAAAUAUCUAUGUCAUCAACUACUUCUCAGAUGAGAUGAUAAAAAACAUCUCGAGUCCACUACACAUCCCAGGAAGCACAGGUACUUCGCGUCCUUCCAUCACAAACAUUACAACAUGACAGAGCCAAACUACUACAUACAUGGCUUAAUUCUGAAACCUAACCCAUCAAUGGAGAAAGCUCGAGGACGACGCCGCCAUCCAGUGCAUCUUUAUCAGCAGAGAAAGCCCGAGGACGACUGCACCAUCCAGUGCAUCUUCAUCAGCGGAGAGAGCCCGAGGACAACGACGCCAUCCAGUGCAUCUUCAUCAGCGAAGAAAGCACGAGGACGACGGCGCCAUCGUGUGCAUCUUCAAGCCCAAACCGCGUCAACUUCUGCAGCACCGCUUGGCAAGAGAAAAUGACCGGUGUCGCGCGCGAUGGAGAUUUUCCAUCAUGUCCGGUAGGUUUGAUGGACGAAAGGAGUAUCUUCCCGAGGAAUGCAAUCUGGGUGGACAUAAAAAGAUCAGUCUAGUGCAGAGGCAAUGUAAUGCAUCAGAGGAAUGUCAGAUUUCUCAGCAGUAAGCCACACAACAAUUCUCUUGUGUCAAAGGGAAUUUAUAGGAAUUAACAAGACAACAUCUUCCCCUAAAAACAAUGCAUACUUAUUCACCAGCCUAGGAAUGCAAAGUGCUCGUUCCAGUUCCACACAAUGAAAGUUAAGUGUUGGACCUGAUCAAGACAAGACAAAAUUGCCAUAGAUAGGCUCACUUGUGUGACCAGCAGAAGAAUUUUCGCUACAAGAUCUCAUCUUGGCUUGUCAAAUCUCAUACUAGACAAAUUGUUGGACACUAGUGAAAACAAGCAACAUCUCCGGGUAAUUGACGACCGGG
RNAcentral lists this long non-coding RNA (2320 nucleotides) under Triticum aestivum (bread wheat). Its description in RNAcentral is "long non-coding RNA (TAES_LNC021687)". Lineage: Eukaryota; Viridiplantae; Streptophyta; Magnoliopsida; Poales; Poaceae. The record is from RNAcentral.